RNAcentral lists this ribosomal RNA (289 nucleotides) under uncultured bacterium. RNAcentral's name for it is "partial 16S ribosomal RNA". It matches the Rfam family "Bacterial small subunit ribosomal RNA", at positions 773 to 1060 of the family's 1533-position model. The record is from RNAcentral.
GUGGAUUAGAUACCCUGGUAGUCCACGCCCUAAACGAUGUCGACUGGAUGUUGGGUGCAACUUGGCACUCAGUAUCGAAGCUAACGCGUUAAGUCGACCGCCUGGGGAGUACGCGCGCAAGCGUGAAACUCAAAGGAAUUGACGGGGGCCCGCACAAGCGGUGGAGUAUGUGGUUUAAUUCGAUGCAACGCGCAGAACCUUACCUGGUCUUGACAUGUCGAGAACCCUUCAGAGAUGAGGGGGUGCCUUCGGGAACUCGAACACAGGUGCUGCACGGCCGUCGCCAACU